CGCUGGCGGCGUGUUUAAGACAUGCAAGUCGCACGGGACUAUUUGAGUAGCAAUACAAGAAUAGUUUAGUGGCGCACGGGUGAGUAACACGUGAAUUACAUGCCCUGCAGAGGGGGAUAGCCCAGGGAAACUUGGAUUAAUACCCCAUGGUAUCGCGAGAUUAAAGAUGGCCGCAAGGCUGUCGCUGCAGGAUUGGUUCGCGCCCUAUCAGCUUGUUGGUGAGGUAACGGCUCACCAAGGCUACGACGGGUACCUGGUCUGAGAGGACGAUCAGGCACACUGGAACUGAGACACGGUCCAGACACCUACGGGUGGCAGCAGUCGAGAAUAAUUCACAAUGGGGGCAACCCUGAUGGUGCAACGCCGCGUGGAGGAUGAAGGUCUUCGGAUUGUAAACUCCUGUCAUCCGGGAGUAAGACCUGGCGAUGAAUAGUCGACAGGGUUGAUAGUACCGGAAGAGGAAGGGACGGCUAACUUCGUG
Molecule: ribosomal RNA, 481 nt
Filed under: uncultured bacterium
Lineage: Bacteria
Description: bacterial SSU rRNA
Rfam family: Bacterial small subunit ribosomal RNA
Source: RNAcentral